UACAGAGGUCCCAAGCGUUGUUCGGAUUCACUGGGCGUAAAGGGUGCGCAGGUGGCAUGGUAAGUUUGAUGUGAAAGCUUCGGGCUUAACCCGGAAAUGGCAUUGAAUACUACUGUGCUGGAGGGUCGGAGGGGGGACUGGAAUUCUUGGUGUAGCAGUGAAAUGCGUAGAUAUCCGGAGGAACACCGGUGGCGAAGGCGGCUUCCUGGACCGAUUACUGACGCUGAGGCGCGAAAGCUAGGGGAGCAAACAGG
Molecule: ribosomal RNA, 254 nt
Filed under: uncultured bacterium
Lineage: Bacteria
Description: partial 16S ribosomal RNA
Rfam family: Bacterial small subunit ribosomal RNA
Source: RNAcentral